UCCCGGUUAACCCGGGCAGUCUCAUUAGAGUUCCCACCUUCACGUGUUGGCAACUAAUGAUAAGGGUUGCGCUCGUUGCGGGACUUAACCCAACACCUCACGGCACGAGCUGACGACAGCCAUGCAGCACCUGUGCAGCGGCCCCGAAGGGCUAUAACAUUUCUGCUAUAUUCCACUGCAUGUCAAGCCUGGGUAAGGUUCUUCGCGUUGCAUCGAAUUAAACCACAUGCUCCACUGCUUGUGCGGGUCCCCGUCAAUUCUUUUGAGUUUCAGCCUUGCGACUGUACUCCCCAGGCGGUAUACUUAACGCGUUAGCUCCGGCACAGCUGGGGUUGAGUCCAGCUACACCAAGUAUACAUAGUUUACGGCAAGGACUAC
This 378-nucleotide unclassified non-coding RNA is filed under the name uncultured Parachlamydiaceae bacterium. RNAcentral describes it as "contains 16S-23S intergenic spacer region". Lineage: Bacteria; Pseudomonadati; Chlamydiota; Chlamydiia; Parachlamydiales; Parachlamydiaceae. The record is from RNAcentral.